GGGGUUGACUGGUUUCGACAGCAAGACCAAUGGGUAAGUAAGCAUGCAGAGAACCGUAGCGCGAUCUCUUAAAUCCCUUGCUACAACAUUUUAACUGGCAACGAAGAGUUCGCUCUUGCAGCUUAAUAAUCGAAGUUUAGUAGAUUCAAGCGUUUCCCGAAGAUUUCAGUAAGGAAGCAAGAUGUCUCACCAAUGUUCUGUUCUGCGACGUUGGAUCCUGGGAUAUAGGAAUGCGGAAAUAAGGUUUUGGAUGCUUUGACCAAAACUCGAAAAUUUUUAGAAGCUAAGGUUUAGGUUGGGUGUUUGCUCUCUGCCUGAGCUCGAAAAUCAAUAGCAAAAUAAGCAUGUAGAAAGCUUGCGUAUUGCUUGUUUGGACGAGGGUUCGAAUCCCUCCAACUCCACAA
RNAcentral lists this transfer-messenger RNA (404 nucleotides) under Chryseobacterium sp. 36-9. It matches the Rfam family "transfer-messenger RNA". From Rfam's summary of the family: Bacterial tmRNA, also known as 10Sa RNA or SsrA, is named for its dual tRNA and mRNA-like properties. RNAcentral also lists the same sequence under 1 other name. Lineage: Bacteria; Pseudomonadati; Bacteroidota; Flavobacteriia; Flavobacteriales; Weeksellaceae. The record is from RNAcentral.